GCAAACAAAGAUUCGCUUCGCAGGAGAGAUAGCGCCAUCGCCUAAGUUUAACUAGCGGUGACGGUAUCUCUCCUACGUAGCAAUCCUUAUAUAUGC
Molecule: microRNA precursor, 96 nt
Filed under: Capsella rubella
Lineage: Eukaryota; Viridiplantae; Streptophyta; Magnoliopsida; Brassicales; Brassicaceae
Description: MIR391 microRNA precursor family
Rfam family: MIR391 microRNA precursor family
Source: Rfam by way of RNAcentral